Molecule: ribosomal RNA, 478 nt
Filed under: uncultured bacterium
Lineage: Bacteria
Description: partial 16S ribosomal RNA
Rfam family: Bacterial small subunit ribosomal RNA
Source: RNAcentral
GAUGAACGCUGGCGGCGUGCUUAACACAUGCAAGUCGAACGGGAAUUCUUUUAUUGAACCUUCGGUCGAUUUAAUUUAAUUCUAGUGGCGGACGGGUGAGUAACGCGUGGGUAACCUGCCUUAUACAGGGGGAUAACAGUCAGAAAUGGCUGCUAAUACCGCAUAAGCGCACAGAGCUGCAUGGCUCAGUGUGAAAAACUCCGGUGGUAUAAGAUGGACCCGCGUUGGAUUAGCUUGUUGGCAGGGUAACGGCCUACCAAGGCGACGAUCCAUAGCCGGCCUGAGAGGGUGAACGGCCACAUUGGGACUGAGACACGGCCCAGACUCCUACGGGAGGCAGCAGUGGGGAAUAUUGCACAAUGGGGGAAACCCUGAUGCAGCGACGCCGCGUGAAGGAAGAAGUAUCUCGGUAUGUAAACUUCUAUCAGCAGGGAAGAUAGUGACGGUACCUGACUAAGAAGCCCCGGCUAACUACGUG